GAUGAACGCUGGCGGCGUGCCUAAUACAUGCAAGUCGAGCGAACGGACGAGAAGCUUGCGUCUCUGAUGUUAGCGGCGGACGGGUGAGUAACACGUGGAUAACCUACCUAUAAGACUGGGAUAACUUCGGGAAACCGUAGCUAAUACCGGAUAAUAUUUUGAACCGCAUGGUUCAAAAGUGAAAGACGGUCUUGCUGUCACUUAUAGAUGGAUCCGCGCUGCAUUAGCUAGUUGGUAAGGUAACGGCUUACCAAGGCAACGAUGCAUAGCCGCCCUGAGAGGGUGAUAGCCCACACUGGAACGGGGACACGGUCCAGACUCCUACGAGAGGCAGCAGUAGGGAAUCUUCCGCAAAGGGCGAAAGCCUGACGGAGCAACGCCGCGUGAGUGCUGAAGGUCUUCGGAUCGUAAAACUCUGUUAUUAGGGAAGAACAUAUGUGUAAGUAACUGUGCACAUCUUGACGGUACCUAAUCAGAAAGCCACGGCUAACUACGUG
This 497-nucleotide ribosomal RNA is filed under the name uncultured bacterium. Its description in RNAcentral is "partial 16S ribosomal RNA". It matches the Rfam family "Bacterial small subunit ribosomal RNA", at positions 28 to 507 of the family's 1533-position model. The record is from RNAcentral.